UUUUUAUUAGUCGCUGGAUAA
RNAcentral lists this microRNA (21 nucleotides) under Zea mays. RNAcentral describes it as "miRt3b". Lineage: Eukaryota; Viridiplantae; Streptophyta; Magnoliopsida; Poales; Poaceae. The record is from RNAcentral.